ACUCCUGAGUAGCUGGGAUUACAGGCACACGCCACUACACCAGGCUAAUUUUUGUAUUUUUAGUAGAGACGGGGUUUCACCAUGUUGGCCAGGAUGGUCUCGAUCUCCGGGACCUGGUGAUCCACUGGACUCGGCCUCCCAAAAUGCUGGGAUUACAGGCAUGAGCCACUGCACCCGG
This is a long non-coding RNA of Sapajus apella (tufted capuchin), 178 nucleotides long. RefSeq lists it as uncharacterized. The transcript has 2 exons. Lineage: Eukaryota; Metazoa; Chordata; Mammalia; Primates; Cebidae. The record is from RefSeq and is a predicted model, not a curated record.